AUAUUUUAUUAAUUUUAUGAAAGUUUCUGUCAAGCAAACAAUAGCAUGUAAUUCAUGUACCCUACUUAAAAGUCGAUUUGGACUAAAUUUUUUGCUUGAAAUAUCUUUAUGGUAGUCCUGCUGCAUGGAUUUAAGGUUUGAAUAUGAAAGAUUCUAAAAUAUAUUUAAAAAUUUUUAGGUGUCUGUAGUUGGAGGAUGGCUUAUAAGUUUGUUAUAACUCUUUUAGUUUUUGCUGAAUCUGUAUGACAGAAAGUGUUGAUCUCAUCUGAGAUGUGGAUGUGUAAUAACAGUAAAAUUAUGAUUUAAUUCUAGGUUUUUAGGUGGAUGAAUUUGUUUAAAUUUGUAUUUCCUAUGUCUCAAUUUCAAGGACUACUAAUUGUCCAUUUAAACCCUAUUUUGUCUGUGUGAUUAAGAGUGUUAUUAAAGCUUCCCUUUUGACCCACUGCGAAAAAAUUCUGAAGUGAGUUAUACCCUUUAAGACAAUCUUAACAUCUUAGAUCGUGACGUUAAUGUCUCAUAGAUAAAACAGAUUAAAAGAGAUAAUUACGUCACAAUCUGUGACUUUACAGAGCGUCUUAAAGGGUAUAAUACAAUUGUCGGGCAUCAGAAUAUUUUUUUUUCAGUGGGUCAUAAGGGAAUCUUACAUAAGACUUUUAUCAAAAAAUACAAGGUUAAAUAGACAACAAUUGUCCUUUAGUAUUUAUUAAAUUAUCUUUUCAGUCAUCCUAUUAGUCUUCAUGAAGCUCUUGAAAAAUUUAAAGUGGAUGUGUUUGGGGAAAAGAAGGAGAAAAUAAAUAUAUCUGUUUUACGUAAUAAGUUUCUACAAACUGCUAUGGAAAAUCUAGAUGAUAUUGACUUCCAGCAGAUAAUAAACGUGAUAUUUAUCGGUGAAGAAGGUGUCGAUGCUGGGGGACUCGCCAGAGAGUUUUUCUCUCUAUUGUUCAAACAAACACCAGUCUUUGAAAAUGGUGGAUUUAAUGUUAAUUCACAGUUACUGAGUGAUAAAAUAUAUCAAAUUAUUGGCAAAGCAGCGUCAUAUUCAGUUCUCAAUGGGAAUCAAGGACCUCAGUGUCUAAGAUCUCACCUUGUAAAGUAUAUAUUAAGUAAUGUGCUUCCAACAGAUGAAGAAAUUCCUGAGGAAAUUUUGCCAGCUAAUGUCUUGUAUGUCCUUCAAGAGAUGGGUAGAUUAGAUAAUGAAGGAUUAAAUACUCUAUUGACAGAAAAUGCAGAUGUAUUUGAAGCUGCAGGUUUUAGACAGAAGCUACAUUCAGGUUCAAAGCAAAGUGCAGCUCUGGCUCUUCAUCAACAUUUUGGAUUUUACAGAUUUCUACCGGUUAUGAUACAAUUUAUAGAUGGUUUGAAACUUCAUGGUGUGUAUGAUCUCUUGGUAAAAUAUCCAAAGGAAUCAUCCUUAUUUUUAAGUAUACAUAAAAGUA
Long non-coding RNA from Patella vulgata (common limpet), 1436 nucleotides. RefSeq lists it as uncharacterized. The transcript is spliced from 3 exons. The record is from RefSeq and is a predicted model, not a curated record. Lineage: Eukaryota; Metazoa; Mollusca; Gastropoda; Patellidae.